This 1359-nucleotide unclassified non-coding RNA is filed under the name uncultured Neocallimastigales. RNAcentral's name for it is "partial contains internal transcribed spacer 1, 5.8S ribosomal RNA, internal transcribed spacer 2, and large subunit ribosomal RNA". The stretch from base 594 to 1359 matches the Rfam family "Eukaryotic large subunit ribosomal RNA", at positions 1 to 627 of the family's 3401-position model. Lineage: Eukaryota; Fungi; Neocallimastigomycota; Neocallimastigomycetes; Neocallimastigales. The record is from RNAcentral.
CCGUAGGUAACCUGGGAAGGAUCAUUAAUAAAUUUUUUUUUGAAAUAAAAAAAAAAUAAUAAUCAUCCUACCCUUUGUGAAUUUUUUGUUGAAUAAUUUUUUAAAAUUAUUAUUGUCUAUCCAAGUUGGAAAGUUGUAAAAGACUAGAAACUUGGAGCGGCAUAAAUAAAUUUAAAGACUUUUUUCUAAAAUUAAACUUUUGUAUUCAUUUGUCUAAAAUAAUUUUUAUAAUAUAUAAAAACAACUUUUGACAAUGGAUCUCUUGGUUCUCGCAACGAUGAAGAACGCAGCAAAAUGCGAUAAGUAAUGUGAAUUGCAGAAUACGUGAAUCAUCGAAUCUUCGAACGCAUAUUGCACUUUUUAGUUUACUAAAAAAGUAUGUCUGUUUGAGUAUCAGUAAAAUGUUCUCAUAAAAUUUUAAUUUUAUGUUAUGAGUGUUUUACAACGAUAAACAAGUUGUUUCACUUUAAAUUGAAUUUUUGAAGAAUUCUUAAUUCAAAUUAAAUUUGGAUAAAAUUUUCCCGUAAAAGGAAUAACUAUACAAGUUAUAAGAAUUUAGUGAUUUCUUUUAUGAAAGGAAUUUAUUAAAUAAUUGAUCUCAAAUCAGAUAAGAGUACCCGCUGAACUUAAGCAUAUCAAUAAGCGGAGGAAAAGAAACUAACAAGGAUUCCCUAGUAACGCGAGUGAAGCGGGAAGAGCUCAAAUUUGAAAUCUCAAAGGGUUUCCCUUUACGAAUUGUAGUUUAAAGAAGUGUUUUCUGUUGAGGUUUUGGUAAAAGUUCUUUGGAAUAGACAUCAUAGAGGGUGAGAAUCCCGUAUUGACCUUUACUUUCAACUUUGUGAUACACUUUCAAAGAGUCGGAUUGUUGGGAAUGCAGUCCAAAAUGGUGGUAAAUUUCAUCUAAAGCUAAUAUUGGCAGAGAGACCGAUAGCGAACAAGUACCGUGAGGAAAGAUGAAAAGAACUUUGAAAAGAGAGUUAAACAGUACGUGAAAUUGUCAAAAGGGAAGCGUUUGACACCAGUGUUGUUUUUCUGAAAAUCAAUUAAAGAACUGUUUAUGCUAAGUUGUUUAGACUUUAUCAGCUAACUGUUUAGUUUUGAGCUUUUCUUUAAUGCACUUUUCAGUUAACAAGUCAACAUCAUUUCUUUUGCUGUAAAAAAGCUUGAGGAAGGUGGCUUGAGAUUCGUCUUAAGUGUUUAUAGCCUCUUGCCUAUGCAGUCGGAGAGAUUGAGGUCUGCAGCGUAGAUCUUCGGGCUAAAUGCAUUGUGCUAAGUUAUAGCAUUUAUAGACAACUUGUUGACUAUGAUUUGUCUUGUAGCUUACUCGCUUAUGUUAUUUUACCUACGCUUAGGAUGUUG